AGAAAGAAGAAACGUUCACUUUUGUUGGCUAGGUAGAUAGUAUUUUUGCAAUUAUUAUUAUUUUUUUCAACUUUUUUGCUUCUUUUUUUCUUCGAUUCUUCUCUUUUUCCUUUCAACCUAACCUCUAAAUAAUUUUCAAAACAGAGGAGC
This 150-nucleotide non-coding RNA is filed under the name Thalassiothrix antarctica. Lineage: Eukaryota; Bacillariophyta; Fragilariophyceae; Thalassionematales; Thalassionemataceae. The record is from RNAcentral.